This 68-nucleotide long non-coding RNA is filed under the name Numida meleagris (helmeted guineafowl). RNAcentral describes it as "lncRNA (ENSNMEG00000007269.1)". The record is from RNAcentral. Lineage: Eukaryota; Metazoa; Chordata; Aves; Galliformes; Numididae.
ACCAGAAGAUUUUGUCUGCAAGAGCCACACACGGAUUAACGCAAUUGGAAGGAACUGUUCUGAAGAAG